Molecule: ribosomal RNA, 126 nt
Filed under: uncultured Acidobacteriota bacterium
Lineage: Bacteria; Pseudomonadati; Acidobacteriota
Description: uncultured Acidobacteria bacterium partial 16S ribosomal RNA
Rfam family: Bacterial small subunit ribosomal RNA
Source: RNAcentral
CUUGAAGAGGGGCCCGCGCCUGAUUAGCUAGUUGGUGGGGUAAUGGCUCACCAAGGCAACGAUCAGUAGCCGGCCUGAGAGGGCGGACGGCCACACUGGGACUGAGACACGGCCCAGACUCCUACG